This 485-nucleotide ribosomal RNA is filed under the name uncultured bacterium. RNAcentral describes it as "partial 16S ribosomal RNA". It matches the Rfam family "Bacterial small subunit ribosomal RNA", at positions 30 to 507 of the family's 1533-position model. The record is from RNAcentral.
AUUGAACGCUGGCGGCAGGCUUAACACAUGCAAGUCGAGCGGAGAUGAGGUGCUUGCACCUUAUCUUAGCGGCGGACGGGUGAGUAAUGCUUAGGAAUCUGCCCUUUAGUGGGGGACAACAUUCCGAAAGGAAUGCUAAUACCGCAUACGUCCUACGGGAGAAAGCAGGGGAUCUUCGGACCUUGCGCUAAUUGAUGAGCCUAAGUCGGAUUAGCUAGUUGGUGGGGUAAAGGCCUACCAAGGCGACGAUCUGUAGCGGGUCUGAGAGGAUGAUCCGCCACACUGGGACUGAGACACGGCCCAGACUCCUACGGGGGGCAGCAGUGGGGAAUAUUGGACAAUGGGGGGAACCCUGAUCCAGCCAUGCCGCGUGUGUGAAGAAGGCCUUAUGGUUGUAAAGCACUUGAAGCGAGGAGGAGGCUACUGAGACUAAUACUCUUGGAUAGUGGACGUUACUCGCAGAAUAAGCACCGGCUAACUCUGUG